CGCAAAAUAUCAUCCAACAACCCAUUCGAAAUUCGAUUUCGAAUUUCGAAUUCCCAACUAAUUCCCAAAACAUCUUCCAACAACUCAUUCAAAAUUCGAUUUCGAAUUUCGAAUUCCCUAACCAAUUCCCAAAACAUCAUCCAACAAUCCAUUCGAAAUUCGAUUUUAAAUUCCCAACCAACUCCAAAAUAUCCUCCAAUAAUCCAUUCAAAAUUCGAAUUUCGAAUUUCGAACCUCCAACCAACUCCCAAAAUAUCUUCCAACUAUCCAACAACUCAUUCAAAAUUCAAUUCCCAACCACUCUCCAAAUAUCCUCCAACCAUCCAACAAAUAAUUCAAAAUUCGAAUUUUGAAUUUCGAAUUUCGAAUUUCGAAUUCUGGAGAAUUUUUUUUUACGGAGACGAUACGAUAGACAAAGAACAAAAAAAGAUAGAUAGAUUGCUACACUCGUUCCGACAUUAAAAAAAAAAAAGAAAAAGGAGAUAUCGCCGAGCCGCGGAAAGGAGGAGGAUCGCCGAGCCACGGAAAGGAGGAGAAAUCGCCGAGCCGCAGAAAGGAGGAGAAAUCGCCGAGCCGCGAAAGGAUGAGAGAUCGCCGAGCCGCGGAAAGAUGGAGGAAUCGUCGAGCUGAUUCAUCAAAUCCGUCAUUUGAUCAACAGG
RNAcentral lists this long non-coding RNA (659 nucleotides) under Ananas comosus (pineapple). RNAcentral's name for it is "long non-coding RNA (ACOM_LNC042206)". The record is from RNAcentral. Lineage: Eukaryota; Viridiplantae; Streptophyta; Magnoliopsida; Poales; Bromeliaceae.